This 336-nucleotide ribosomal RNA is filed under the name Oxyrrhis marina. Its description in RNAcentral is "partial Eukaryotic large subunit ribosomal RNA". It matches the Rfam family "Eukaryotic large subunit ribosomal RNA", at positions 685 to 989 of the family's 3401-position model. The record is from RNAcentral. Lineage: Eukaryota; Dinophyceae; Oxyrrhinales; Oxyrrhinaceae.
UGCGAGUAUGCGGGUGUCAAACCUGUGUGCGUAAUGAAAGUGAAGGCGGCUUGCUUCGUGCGGCUGCUGAGGUAGGAGGGUGGCGCUUCGUGCGUUGCCUGCACUAUCCACCGAUCAUGAUUCUUUGAUGAAAGAUUCGAGUGUGAGCAUAGAUGUUGGGACCCGAAAGAUGGUGAACUAUGCCUGAGUAGGGUGAAGCCUGAAGAAAUUCAGGUGGAGGCUCGUAGCGAUACUGACGUGCAAAUCGUUCGUCGAACCUGGGUAUAGGGGCGAAAGACUAAUCGAACCAUCGAGUAGCUGGUUCCCUCCGAAAUUUCCCUUAGGAUAGCAAUAACU